CGCCCGGAUUCCUCCCCACCGCGCCGCCGCCCGGACUCCUCUCCACCGCGCCGCCGCCCGGACUUCUCCUCGAGCGCGCCGCCGCCCGGCCCUCUCCACAUCGCCGGCAGCGUCUUCGUUCUUCUCCGGCCACCUCCCUUCCUCCAACCUCCUGCAUCUCGCGCUGCCCCCAUGUCUCCUGGUUCCCACACCACAACGCCGUCUCCCGGUGGGACUCCGCCGCCGAAGCGCCCUGUCUGUUCACAUCCACCACUCCAGUUCGUUCAACGCCACCACCCGAACCAGUUCACCACCUCCCUCCAUCGCGCCUCCUCUGCUUGGUGUAGCCAGCGGCGCUCUGCCCCUCUUCUGCUUCCCCUGUCAAUCUCAGUAACUCCUCGCAGUAUUCUUCGACGCCUUUCGGCCUCCGUCACCGCCGCUCCCCGAACUGUUGUCCUCUGCACGAGCAACACAGUGGGUCGUUCGACUUCCUGACGCUGGCGCCGUGGGUCGCCACAAAAUCGAGUUCAGUGUGUAUUUUAAGAAGAAAAACCAACAAUGGCGGCUGCAUUGGAGCCGUAGGACUACUAUUGCUGAUAGGUUUGUGAACUAACAAACAUUAUUUUUAUGUUCCUGUGAUGUUUCAUAUUUUUGUGAACUGAUAGUUGAUGCUCUUUGUGGACUGAUAGCUGAUACUUUUUGUUAACCGAUAAACUGAAUAAAUGAGAUGGAUGUAUUAUCAGGCCGUGAAAAUGAUGUAAAAAAUAUGUGCAGUUCAGCGGAUGAGUAUUAUGUAUGCCCUUCUAAUCUGAAGGUAGUGGCACCACUAAGAAAAACAAAAUAAUCAGUUUUUUGUAGCCACGGAAUGGGCAUUUGACUCAGUAAUCUUCCAUUGCUAGAGCGCUCAAGCCGUUCACCCUUACCACCACAAGUCGUUCACCUCCGCCACACGAGGCCGUGCGACGAUGCAACUAUCACAAUGUUCACCUCUGCCACAGGAGGCCGAUGCAACGCUAAGUCGUUCGAUGCUGCAACUUAGGAGUCUGCCUCCUUUGACAGCUCCUGAUCUCCGGAACAGCCAUGGCUCCCUGCCGGCACAAAUCGCCAUCGACGACCUCCUUUGACAGCUUGCCUCUGAGGCCCACCAGACCCACACAGACGACGCUGGCCGUCCACAUCCACCAGCACAGGCCGUUCACACUCACCACUCAUGGCCGUUCUCGAAACCAUCCCAAAGUGUAGAUCGUACAUGAGGACAGGGCCGAGGGCCAUUCACUGUCACCACCCCGGGCCGUUCAACGAGACAGCAAGCACAUGUUUCCAGAAUCGAGCAGUAAAAGGGUACUGCCGGAGAUAAGUAGUAAGCGGCAAAAUGUUUUUUUUUUUUUUUUUUUUGCGUAUGAGCGGCAAAUGUUUUGAGGCAGCAGCAAGACGAGGCAUAAAAGCUGGCGAGCAGAUUGAGAAUUGGAAUUGGGGCUGCAACUAAAGUAGCAAAAAUAUGAUGUAUUUCAAAUAUCAUGAUGAAAACAAGGAACCUAACAACUCUUCAUCUCAAGUUCAAUUUCAAACUCCAAUUCAGUUCAAUUCUGGUUUUACUAAACUUGCUAUGGAGCUGCCGUAUUCCUAGUGCUGGAGAAUUGGCUCAACCCAACCCGCAACUCCGUUUGCUCACAUGUAAGUCCAUGGUUUUACAAAGAAGCAUGGUUUUACAAUCUUCCAAAGGUAUUUGGUGUCCGCGGCACUUGCAUGUUUGAUGGACUCCUUGCUCACCGUUCACCAAGUCCUUUCUCCUUUCGUUUGCUUUGCUUUUACCAGGGAUGCAAUGAAGGGAUGAAAAGAAGUUGGGGCACAAUUCUUGGAUAAUUGCACCAUGGAGCGUGUGGUCCUCAGUUAAAACAAACACAAAACAAUUUCUAGUGCAUUUCUAGUUGCUACUUGCUGCCACUGGUAAAUUGGACAAGUUCAGAAAGUGCCAUGGAGCAAGCUCAGUAGAGAUUGUGCCGUUGACCUUUCUUACUGAAGCUCCUUCCAGUUGUUACUUGGUGCCAUUGUUAAAUUGUGAAAGUUCAAAGACUGUCAUAGGGCAAAAUCAAAAGUUUGCUUUCAUGACAAGUGUGAUUUUUGGUCAUUAUUUUGUACAAUUCAUUUGGCACAAGCUUUGUGUGAUUUUAUGAAGCUUUAUA
Long non-coding RNA from Triticum aestivum (bread wheat), 2162 nucleotides. RefSeq lists it as uncharacterized. NCBI's taxonomy places the organism in Eukaryota, Viridiplantae, Streptophyta, Magnoliopsida, Poales, Poaceae. The record is from RefSeq and is a predicted model, not a curated record. The transcript has 8 exons.